This 29-nucleotide non-coding RNA is filed under the name Homo sapiens (human). Lineage: Eukaryota; Metazoa; Chordata; Mammalia; Primates; Hominidae. The record is from RNAcentral.
UGACAGGAGAGGAAGCACUGCCAAAGUGA